ACACGUAGGGGGCAAGCGUUAUCCGGAUUUAUUGGGUUUAAAGGGUGCGCAGGCGGCCAUUUAAGUCAGCGGUUAAAUCGUGGGGCUCAACCCCAUUCUGCCGUUGAUACUGGGUGGCUUGAUUGCGGUCGAGGUUGGCGGAAUUCGUUGUGGAGCGGUGAAAUGCAUAGAUAUGACGAAGAACACCGAUUGCGUAGGCAGCUGACCAGACCGCAAAUGACGCUCAUGCACGAAAGUGCGGGGAUCGAACAGGAUUAGAUACCCUGGUAGUCCGCACAGUAAACGAUGAAUACUUGUUUUCGGCGAUAUAAUGUCGGAGGCAAAGCGAAAGCGAUAAGUAUUCCACCUGGGGAGUACGCCGGCAACGGUGAAACUCAAAUGAAUUGGCGGGG
RNAcentral lists this ribosomal RNA (392 nucleotides) under uncultured bacterium. Its description in RNAcentral is "partial 16S ribosomal RNA". It matches the Rfam family "Bacterial small subunit ribosomal RNA", at positions 523 to 918 of the family's 1533-position model. The record is from RNAcentral.